CCCUUAGAUGUUCUGGGCCGCACGCGCGCUACACUGAUGCAUUCAACGAGUUUCUUCCUGGUCCGAGAGGAAUGGGUAACCUUUUGAAAGUGCAUCGUGAUAGGGAUAGACUAUUGCAAUUAUUGGUCUUCAACGAGGAAUUCCUAGUAGACGUAGUUCAUCAGACUGCAUCGAUUACGUCCCUGCCCCUUGUACACACCGCCCGUCGCUCCUACCGAUUGAAUGCUCAGGUGAGCCAUUCGGACUUUCAUCAUGCUGGUUUCCAGUUUUGAUGAAGGAAAGUCUUGCGAACCUUAUCAUUUAGAGGAAGGAGAAGUCGUAACA
This 324-nucleotide ribosomal RNA is filed under the name uncultured eukaryote. RNAcentral's name for it is "partial 18S ribosomal RNA". It matches the Rfam family "Eukaryotic small subunit ribosomal RNA", at positions 1470 to 1796 of the family's 1831-position model. The record is from RNAcentral.